RNAcentral lists this transfer RNA (69 nucleotides) under Marmota monax (woodchuck). RNAcentral describes it as "tRNA.Thr". It matches the Rfam family "tRNA", at positions 5 to 66 of the family's 71-position model. From Rfam's summary of the family: Transfer RNA (tRNA) molecules are approximately 80 nucleotides in length. Their secondary structure includes four short double-helical elements and three loops (D, anti-codon, and T loops). Lineage: Eukaryota; Metazoa; Chordata; Mammalia; Rodentia; Sciuridae. The record is from RNAcentral.
GCGUGUAGGUCAGUGGUAGAACAUUUGUUUGGUACACAUGAAACCCUGGGUUCCAUCCCCAGUACUGCA